Molecule: transfer RNA, 72 nt
Filed under: Mus musculus (house mouse)
Lineage: Eukaryota; Metazoa; Chordata; Mammalia; Rodentia; Muridae
Description: tRNA-Ser
Source: RNAcentral
GUUUCUCAGGGCUUAGUGGUAGAGCACCUGCCUGGAAUGUGGGAGGCCCUGGGUACAAUCCCCACAGGGGUG